CCCUAGGCUUUGGGAUAACCCCGGGAAACCGGGGCUAAUACCGAAUAGGACCACCGGUCGCAUGGUUGGUGGUGGAAAGUUUUUCGGCCUGGGAUGGGCUCGCGGCCUAUCAGCUUGUUGGUGGGGUGAUGGCCUACCAAGGCGACGACGGGUAGCCGGCCUGAGAGGGCGACCGGCCACACUGGGACUGAGACACGGCCCAGACUCCUACGGGAGGCAGCAGUGGGGAAUAUUGCACAAUGGGCGGAAGCCUGAUGCAGCGACGCCGCGUGAGGGAUGACGGCCUUCGGGUUGUAAACCUCUUUCAGCAGGGACGAAGCGUAAGUGACGGUACCUGCAGAAGAAGCGCCGGCCAACUACGUGCCAGCAGCCGCGGUAAGACGUAGGGCGCGAGCGUUGUCCGGAUUUAUUGGGCGUAAAGAGCUCGUAGGCGGCUUGUCGCGUCGACUGUGAAAACCCGCAGCUCAACUGCGGGCCUGCAGUCGAUACGGGCAGGCUAGAGUUCGGUAGGGGAGACUGGAAUUCCUGGUGUAGCGGUGAAAUGCGCAGAUAUCAGGAGGAACACCGGUGGCGAAGGCGGGUCUCUGGGCCGAUACUGACGCUGAGGAGCGAAAGCGUGGGGAGCGAACAGGAUUAGAUACCCUGGUAGUCCACGCUGUAAACGUUGGGCGCUAGGUGUGGGGGGCCUCUCCGGUUCCCUGUGCCGCAGCUAACGCAUUAA
Molecule: ribosomal RNA, 721 nt
Filed under: Micromonospora sp. EGI80166
Lineage: Bacteria; Bacillati; Actinomycetota; Actinomycetes; Micromonosporales; Micromonosporaceae
Description: bacterial SSU rRNA
Rfam family: Bacterial small subunit ribosomal RNA
Source: RNAcentral